RNAcentral lists this long non-coding RNA (410 nucleotides) under Cricetulus griseus (Chinese hamster). Its description in RNAcentral is "lncRNA (ENSCGRG00015029138.1)". Lineage: Eukaryota; Metazoa; Chordata; Mammalia; Rodentia; Cricetidae. The record is from RNAcentral.
GCAGGAGUAUCGCCCAAAGUCAAACCAGGCUAUAUAGUGAGACUGUCUCAGAGGCACCCAAAACAACAACCAACAAGUCCAUCUACUCAUGUUCCUGCUGGAUGAUUCCCCACCUCCAAACUUCCUCCGGUAUAUAAGGCUGAUAUAGCUCUUGGCCGGUGUCUGUGCUGACGACACUCAGCAUCCUACAGCUGGAGCCUGAUACCAUCAGCUGCCCAAGCUCUGGGAACCCUGACAAGCCAGGUGUGUGACACCAUCCCCAGUUUACAUGGCGCCCGGUGUGGAACCCAGGGUUUUGUGAAUGCCAGGCAAGCAAGCAUUCUACCAGUGGAACCCCAGCCUCAGCUGUUUGUUCUUGUGUGACUGUCUUGCUGCUAGAUUGAGGCCUUUGGGCUGUAAUAGAGAUCGAC